RNAcentral lists this ribosomal RNA (468 nucleotides) under uncultured bacterium. Its description in RNAcentral is "partial 16S ribosomal RNA". It matches the Rfam family "Bacterial small subunit ribosomal RNA", at positions 28 to 507 of the family's 1533-position model. The record is from RNAcentral.
GACGAACGCUGGCGGCGUGCUUAACACAUGCAAGUCGAACGGAAAGGCCCUGCUUUUGUGGGGUGCUCGAGUGGCGAACGGGUGAGUAACACGUGAGUAACCUGCCCUUGACUUUGGGAUAACUUCAGGAAACUGGGGCUAAUACCGGAUAGGAUCUCCUGCUGCAUGGUGGGGGUUGGAAAGUUUCGGCGGUUGGGGAUGGACUCGCGGCUUAUCAGCUUGUUGGUGGGGUAGUGGCUUACCAAGGCUUUGACGGGUAGCCGGCCUGAGAGGGUGACCGGCCACAUUGCGACUGAGAUACGGCCCAGACUCCUACGGGAGGCAGCAGUGGGGAAUAUUGCACAAUGGGCGGAAGCCUGAUGCAGCAACGCCGCGUGCGGGAUGACGGCCUUCGGGUUGUAAACCGCUUUCGCCUGUGACGAAGCGUGAGUGACGGUAAUGGGUAAAGAAGCACCGGCUAACUACGUG